GUUUUUUGGCGAGGAGCAAUGGCGGAGCUGCGUCACUCCAGCUCUUGGAAGCCUUGCACUGAGCGGCGCAUGGGUGGAGUCUCUGGUAUAUUAGAGAAUGACACUGGAGACCAUCAAAAGAGUGAGUCCGAGAAGGGCUCUAUUAAUGGGAAUGGCUCAGGCGUUUGGUCACCACAAAUCUUUCAGGUAAAACUUUUCUUCUGGUCAGCUCUUGUAGUUUUGUGAUCAGGCUCUUGUAGUUUUGUGGUCAGCUCUUGUAGUUUUGUGGCCAGGCUCUUGUAAUUUUGUGGUAGGGCUCUUGUAAUUUUGUGGUCAGCUCUUGUAGUCUGCUGCUUGUUUUGUAGUGGACUUGGUUUUGUUGUAUCACGUGUGUAUCAAACCUUUUGAUCUUGUUUUGUUGUAUCACAGACCGUUUGUUGUAAUGAAAGCAUCAGUCAUCAUCUCUUUUUAUAAA
This is a long non-coding RNA of Brassica napus (rape), 454 nucleotides long. RefSeq lists it as uncharacterized. The record is from RefSeq and is a predicted model, not a curated record. NCBI's taxonomy places the organism in Eukaryota, Viridiplantae, Streptophyta, Magnoliopsida, Brassicales, Brassicaceae. The transcript has 2 exons.